Molecule: transfer RNA, 64 nt
Filed under: Pollenia rudis
Lineage: Eukaryota; Metazoa; Arthropoda; Insecta; Diptera; Polleniidae
Also listed under: 1 other name
Description: tRNA-Tyr
Rfam family: tRNA
About the family: Transfer RNA (tRNA) molecules are approximately 80 nucleotides in length. Their secondary structure includes four short double-helical elements and three loops (D, anti-codon, and T loops).
Source: RNAcentral
GAUUAAAUGGCUGAAAUUUAGGCAAUAGACUGUAAAUCUAUUUAUGAGAUAUUCUCUUUAAUCA